This 274-nucleotide ribosomal RNA is filed under the name uncultured bacterium. Its description in RNAcentral is "partial 16S ribosomal RNA". It matches the Rfam family "Bacterial small subunit ribosomal RNA", at positions 523 to 796 of the family's 1533-position model. The record is from RNAcentral.
AUACGGAGGGUCCAAGCGUUAUCCGGAAUCAUUGGGUUUAAAGGGUCCGCAGGCGGUCAAUUAAGUCAGAGGUGAAAGCCCAUCGCUCAACGAUGGAACUGCCUUUGAUACUGGUUGACUUGAGUUAUACGGAAGUAGAUAGAAUAAGUAGUGUAGCGGUGAAAUGCAUAGAUAUUACUUAGAAUACCGAUUGCGAAGGCAGUCUACUACGUAUGUACUGACGCUGAGGGACGAAAGCGUGGGGAGCGAACAGGAUUAGAUACCCUAGUAGUCC